RNAcentral lists this ribosomal RNA (890 nucleotides) under Lichina intermedia. RNAcentral's name for it is "partial large subunit ribosomal RNA". It matches the Rfam family "Eukaryotic large subunit ribosomal RNA", at positions 56 to 941 of the family's 3401-position model. The record is from RNAcentral. Lineage: Eukaryota; Fungi; Ascomycota; Lichinomycetes; Lichinales; Lichinaceae.
GACAAGAAACCAACAGGGAUUGCCCCAGUAACGGCGAGUGAAGCGGCAACAGCUCAGAUUUGAAAUCUGCCCCGCGCGAGCGGGUCCGAGUUGUGCUCUGCAGAGGAUGCUUCGGGCGCCGCGCCAGGCCCAGGUCCCUUGGAACAGGGCGCCAAAGAGGGUGAGAGCCCCGUCUGCGGCCGCCGGCCGCGCGCCCACCACGUAGCUCCCUCGACGAGUCGAGUUGUUUGGGAAUGCAGCUCCAAGCGGGUGGUAAAUCUCAUCUAAGGCUAAAUACCGGCCAGAGACCGAUAGCGAACAAGUAGAGUGAUCGAAAGAUGAAAAGCACUUUGGAAAGAGAGUGAAACAGCACGUGAAAUUGUUGAAAGGGAAGCGCUCGCGACCAGACCCGGCCGCGGCCGAUCCGCCGGCGUUCUUCGCCGGCUCCCUCGGCCGUCGGUUCCCGGGCCAGCGUCGGCUCCGGGGACGGGAGGAUGGCGCCGGGAACGUGGCUCAACCCUCCGGGGGGGAGCACUUACAGCCCGGCGCGUCACGCCGUCACCCGGGGCCGAGGCCCGCGCUUAGGCACGGACGCUGGCGUAAUGGUCGCCAGCGACCCGUCUUGAAACACGGACCAAGGAGUCUAACAUCCCCGCGAGUGUUUGGGCGUUGAAAACCCCGGCGCGCAAUGAAGGUGAACGUAGGCGGGAGCCCGUCCGCGGGCGCACCGUCGACCGAUCCUGAUGUCUUCGGAUGGAUUUGAGUACGAGCGUGGCUGUUGGGACCCGAAAGAUGGCGAACUAUGCGUGGAUAGGGUGAAGCCAGAGGAAACUCUGGUGGAGGCUCGCAGCGGUUCUGACGUGCAAAUCGAUCGUCGAAUCUGCGCAUGGGGGCGAAAGACCANUCGAGCC